RNAcentral lists this ribosomal RNA (214 nucleotides) under Pichia kudriavzevii. RNAcentral describes it as "partial 26S ribosomal RNA". It matches the Rfam family "Eukaryotic large subunit ribosomal RNA", at positions 63 to 281 of the family's 3401-position model. The record is from RNAcentral. Lineage: Eukaryota; Fungi; Ascomycota; Pichiomycetes; Pichiales; Pichiaceae.
UACGGCUAGGGAUUGCCUCAGUAGCGGCGAGUGAAGCGGCAAGAGCUCAGAUUUGAAAUCGUGCUUUGCGGCACGAGUUGUAGAUUGCAGGUUGGAGUCUGUGUGGAAGGCGGUGUCCAAGUCCCUUGGAACAGGGCGCCCAGGAGGGUGAGAGCCCCGUGGGAUGCCGGCGGAAGCAGUGAGGCCCUUCUGACGAGUCGAGUUGUUUGGGAAU